Molecule: ribosomal RNA, 326 nt
Filed under: uncultured eukaryote
Lineage: Eukaryota
Description: partial 18S ribosomal RNA
Rfam family: Eukaryotic small subunit ribosomal RNA
Source: RNAcentral
CCCUUAGAUGUCCUGGGCCGCACGCGCGCUACACUGAACGGAUCAGCGCGUUUUCCCUUCCCGAGAGGGACGGGUAACCUGCUGAACCCCGUUCGUGGUAGGGAUCGGGGCUUGCAAUUAUUCCCCGUGAACCAGGAAUGCCCAGUAAGUGCAAGUCAUAAGCUUGCGUUGAUUACGUCCCUGCCCUUUGUACACACCGCCCGUCGCUCCUACCGAUUGAAUGGUCCGGUGAAGCGUUCGGACCGUGGCCUUUGGACGGUUCGCCGUCUGUUGGCUGCGGGAAGUUCGUUAAACCUUAUCAUUUAGAGGAAGGAGAANUCGUAACA